RNAcentral lists this ribosomal RNA (689 nucleotides) under uncultured Actinomycetes bacterium. RNAcentral's name for it is "bacterial SSU rRNA". It matches the Rfam family "Bacterial small subunit ribosomal RNA", at positions 63 to 763 of the family's 1533-position model. Lineage: Bacteria; Bacillati; Actinomycetota; Actinomycetes. The record is from RNAcentral.
CGAGGUUGAUCCAGUAGCAAUACUGGUGACUACCUAGUGGCGAACGGGUGAGUAACACGUGAGCAACCUGCCCCGAAGACUGGGAUAACAGCGGGAAACCGCUGCUAAUACCGGAUAUCCCCAUCGGACCACAUGGCCUGAUGAGGAAAUGGAUUCCGCUUCGGGAGGGGCUCGCGGCCUAUCAUGCUUGUUGGCGGGGUAACGGCCCACCAAGGCGACGACGGGUAGCUGGUCUGAGAGGACGAUCAGCCACACUGGGACUGAGACACGGCCCAGACUCCUACGGGAGGCAGCAGUGGGGAAUAUUGCGCAAUGGGCGAAAGCCUGACGCAGCAACGCCGCGUGAGGGAUGAAUGCCUUCGGGUUGUAAACCUCUUUCAAGCAGGGACGAUAAUGACGGUACCUGCAGAAGAAGCUCCGGCCAACUACGUGCCAGCAGCCGCGGUAAUACGUAGGGAGCGAGCGUUGUCCGGAUUCAUUGGGCGUAAAGAGCUCGUAGGCGGCUUGGUAAGUCGGAUGUGAAACCUCCAGGCUCAACCUGGAGUCGCCAUCCGAUACUGUCAUGGCUAGAGUCCGGUAGGGGCCCACGGAACUCCUGGUGUAGCGGUGAAAUGCGCAGAUAUCAGGAAGAACACCGGUGGCGAAGGCGGUGGGCUGGGCCGGUACUGACGCUGAGGAGCGAAAGCGUG